AUUUUUAUAGUUUAUUUUAAAAUAUAACAUUGAAAAUGUUAAGAAAAAUUUUUUUUAAAGAUA
This 63-nucleotide transfer RNA is filed under the name Quadristernoseta cf. longigynium XFX-2019. RNAcentral describes it as "tRNA-Phe". The record is from RNAcentral. Lineage: Eukaryota; Metazoa; Arthropoda; Arachnida; Mesostigmata; Diplogyniidae.